UAUAGCAGCCAUAUCACCCUGUAGCCCAAGACUGGUUGCCCACUGAAGCUAAGCAGGGCUGAACCUGGUCAGUACCUGGAUGGGAGACCUCCUGAGAAAACUAGGUUGCUGCUGGAA
This is a ribosomal RNA of Sinocyclocheilus anshuiensis, 117 nucleotides long. The record is from Ensembl. NCBI's taxonomy places the organism in Eukaryota, Metazoa, Chordata, Actinopteri, Cypriniformes, Cyprinidae.